AUUAUCAACAUGUUAGCUCAGAUAUAUAUUCUGUUAAGUUGAUUUCUAAAUGGUUAUACAAGUGUUAGCUCUUGGAUAAUCAUGGCAUUUAUUCACAUGUUGAUACACCUUUGUCAAUUACCCGUAUAUAUAUAUGUUGAAUUACAUAUUAUUGUUGAGCAAGAUUAAAAACCUUCGGGUUUGGAACCAGGCAUGUAUGAACAUCCCUAUAUGGGAAGAUUUUUGCGCCCGAGGCGG
RNAcentral lists this long non-coding RNA (237 nucleotides) under Panax ginseng (ginseng). Its description in RNAcentral is "long non-coding RNA (PGIN_LNC010752)". Lineage: Eukaryota; Viridiplantae; Streptophyta; Magnoliopsida; Apiales; Araliaceae. The record is from RNAcentral.